GAGAAACACUAAGACUCAGCAGAUAAGGAUGGAGGCGACUCAACAUCACACUGAGACAGAUAUGAGCCCUGCAUUUCUGAAUGCCUUGAAAGAAAAACCAGCAAGUUGGGAGGGCCGUGUCUCCUUAUCAUCUUCCAGGAAUUCAAAACCGUGAUUUCCAGUUUCCAAAUGCAACUCAAGCUCCAUCACCCUGUACAUCUUGCACGGUUUCUCCAGCAUAUCCUGAUCGCCACCUCCAGACCCUUCUGAUAGAUUCAUUACCUGAAUCUAUUUGAUCCUGAACUCCUGCUCUCCCUUGGCUCAACCUCAUCACAGCCAGAAAGGAUGAGAGCUCUUUAAUGAAGUGCAUACAUGUCAGUUUCCCAGGACACAAACCAAAGUAAAGAAGAAUGGAGCAUGCUCCUAUAAAGGAAAAUAAAAGGAGAUCCAUAAAGCAAAUCCAACUCAUGGACACUUACUAAACAUGCACUGUGUUCAUGUAAUGGCUCCAAGAAUCUUAGUGGACAUGGACGGAAGUACACACCUGGAGUGGACCUACAGAAGCUCAGAGUCAAAUGGCAGAAAGAUGAUAUGGGCAUUGAAUACAUUAAAUGAAAAUAAAAGUAAUAAAUCACAAGAGAAGAGAGUAACUGAGGGUGUCACUGGGCAGUACAUUAGCAAUUAAUUACCAGACACCUAUGCAGUUAAAAUGUACUGCUGGCCUUCAAAGGUGAAGGAAUCCAUGGCCUGGAAUGACCAUAAAAAAUUUAUUUUAACAAAAAGACAUGACUGUAGCCUUUUAGGGUAAAGAGAUUUUAACAUUUGAAGAGCAGAGAGACAGGUACAGCAUUGCAGGCUAGGAAAUGUGGGAGUUCAAAAUGGCAGACCAGGAGGAAGGCAAGUUGUGUUUGGGAAAAUUGACUUUAUGGUUAUUAGAAAGACCAUGUAAGCAAGCAGAGAUCAAUUGUGCUAGAAAUGUUUUUCAAAUUGAGCAUCUGGUGUGUGUUAGGCACUGCUCUCGGCACUGGGGAUACAGCUGUGAACAUGAUCAACAAGGACCCUGCAAUCAUGGAGAUUAAAUUAUAGUGAGGCAAACAGAAUAUAAAUAAAUAUACACAUUAGGUGAAAGCCAGACAGCUUCGGGUCUUAUGGAGAGAGUUACUGUUGGAGCAUGUACUAGAGAAUGACUAAAUGGUAACUAUAUGGGAUGGUCGAAGAUGACCUCAAUGAGGAAUCUCUACACUUAGAUAAGACCCAAAUAGCAAGAAUGGUUCUUGUUCUGUAUUAUAAUCAAGAGGAAGAGGAUUUCAGGCAGAGGGAAAAAUGGGAUCCAUGGGCUAAAACAGGUACUUGAAUGAUGUUUUUGAGGAAAUAAAUGAAGAUCAGGGUGGCUAGAGCAUUGUGAUGAAGGUUUACACCAGGUGCUGGCUGGUUUUUAUUCCUAGUGAGAGACAAUUGUUGCAUUUUCAGGGAUUUUGUAAGGCAAUUCAUAUAACGUUGGUAGCUUAUAAUUGACUAUGGUAGGAAUAUUCAUACCUGAGAAAUCGGCAAACACUGUGAAUCAGGACUCCCUCUUUGUCCCCAACCCUCAACUCCCAUUCAGAGAGCCUGUUUUUGAGUAUUUUCUUGCAUACCACAGAGUGAGUAUAAGAAGCAGCUGGAAUAGUAACUAGGAACCAAUCAUCUUAGGCUUUAUAAGGCAGAGAAAGGAAUUUUAAUUUUAGGUGUGUUGGGAAGCCAUUAGUGGGUCUUAUGUAGGAAAUGAAUAUGGUCUGAUUUACAUAUGUAAAGGAUAAUUCUGAGUAUGUUAUGGAACACUUUGUAAAUAGGUAAAAAGAGAAAUAGGAAAAUCAGCUAUUGCAUUAGACUCAGUUAGAAGUGGCAGUGGUUUUGCUAGGGGUUAUAUAAAAGGAAGAAAACUUAAUAAUGUUAGGCCUGACUAUAGGUAGAAUCUAUAGUUUUUACUCAUGAAUUGGAUGUAAGAAUUGAGGAGAAACGAAGAACCAAGUAAAAAUUUUGAGCUUUGGCUUGGGAAACUAGGUAUAUGGUAACGCCAAAAAGAGAGAUGUAGAGAAUUGAUGUAGGAGCAAAGCUGGGCUGGGAAAUUGAGAAAAUUAUACCUGCCUUGUUAAAGUUGAAACACCCACAUGACACUCACCUGGAAGGAUAUUCACACUUGGAUUGUUGGGGAAUAAUAAGAACUAGAGAUACAGUUUGAGGGUCACUGGCAUAGAGAUAGUAAUUAAAACCAGGAUGUCAGUUAUAUCACCUAGGGAUAAUGCAAAGAGAGAGAAAAGCAGGAGAUAAGACAGAUCGAGCAGUGGGAGAAGCCGGCAUUGAAGAAUGAAGAGGAAAACCAGGCGUGUCUAGUGCCAUGAUGCCAAGAGAAAAACCCAGCUCCGAGAAGACAGGAGUUUGUUUGCUAAUGUUAUUGAGGGAUAAAGUAAAAUACGAAGAGAGAAGUAACUUGGACUGGCGGCAAAGCGAUCACCAGUGCUCCUUCUAACUGUGGUGUCGAUAAAGUAAUGUGGACUGGAUGAAGGAGCCUCGUUGGAAUAAACUCAUAUAGGAAUGAUGAUACCGUGUUUACCUACUAAUGGGAAUGACCCUAUUGAAGAGGGAACAUCACGUAUGUUGGGGAGCGGAAAAGUCAAAGUCCUCGAAAAGGCUCCAAGGAUAUAAAGGAUAAGACACAAGGGCCAACACUAAGAGACAAAAUUAAAGCCCUAAGGAGACACUGAAAGAGGCUAAUUGUUUCUACUGCAGCUUUCAUAGUCAGACAUCUCGGAUUCAAUCUUUGCUCUACCAUUUACUAGCAAUGUGACUUUAGGCAAAUUUCUUCAUCUUGCUAAACCUUUGGUUUUUCACCUGUAAAAUGAGGAUAACUAAAAAUGCCUAAUAGGGUUAUUUUUCAGUUUAAAUGAGAUAAUAUGGUUACAAUUCUUAGUAUAGUUCUUGGUUUACAACUGAGUCAAUAAAUGAUACAACUCUUUUAUUAUAAUGAAGCAU
RNAcentral lists this long non-coding RNA (2988 nucleotides) under Homo sapiens (human). RNAcentral describes it as "HSALNT0301054". Lineage: Eukaryota; Metazoa; Chordata; Mammalia; Primates; Hominidae. The record is from RNAcentral.